CAAUUUUCAGCGACGGAUAUCUUGGCUCGAGCACCUAUGAAGGGCGCAGCGAAGUGCGAUAAUCGUUGUGAAUUGCAGAACUCCGUGAACCAAUGGCCUCUUGAACGUGCAUUGCGCUCCUGGGAUAUGCCUGAGAGCAUGUCUGCUUCAGUG
RNAcentral lists this ribosomal RNA (153 nucleotides) under uncultured Symbiodinium. Its description in RNAcentral is "5.8S ribosomal RNA". It matches the Rfam family "5.8S ribosomal RNA". Rfam says of the family: 5.8S ribosomal RNA (5.8S rRNA) is a component of the large subunit of the eukaryotic ribosome. It is transcribed by RNA polymerase I as part of the 45S precursor that also contains 18S and 28S rRNA. Functionally, it is thought that 5.8S rRNA may be involved in ribosome translocation. Lineage: Eukaryota; Dinophyceae; Suessiales; Symbiodiniaceae. The record is from RNAcentral.